UACGAAGGGGGCUAGCGUUGUUCGGAAUUACUGGGCGUAAAGCGUGCGCAGGCGGCUUCUCAAGUCAGGGGUGAAAGCCCAGAGCUCAACUCUGGAAUUGCCUUUGAGACUGAGUGGCUUGAGUACGGGAGAGGUGAGUGGAAUUCCCAGUGUAGAGGUGAAAUUCGUAGAUAUUGGGAAGAACACCGGUGGCGAAGGCGGCGAUCUGGGUAGAUACUGACGCUGAGGUGCGAAAGCGUGGGGAGCAAACAGG
RNAcentral lists this ribosomal RNA (253 nucleotides) under uncultured bacterium. RNAcentral's name for it is "partial 16S ribosomal RNA". It matches the Rfam family "Bacterial small subunit ribosomal RNA", at positions 524 to 776 of the family's 1533-position model. The record is from RNAcentral.